This 125-nucleotide small RNA is filed under the name Marmota monax (woodchuck). Lineage: Eukaryota; Metazoa; Chordata; Mammalia; Rodentia; Sciuridae. The record is from RNAcentral.
GCUGGGCAUGAUGGCACACGCCUGUAAUCCCAGUGGCUCGGGAAGCUGAGGCAGGAGAAUCGUGAGUUCAAAGCCAGCCUCAGCUUAAGCAAGGUGCUAAGCAACUCAGUGAGACCCUGUCUCUA